ACGCUCGACACCUACGGGAGGCAGCAGUUGGGAAUAUUGGACAAUGGAGGAAACUCUGAUCCAGUGACGCCGCGUGAAGGAAGAAGGUCUUCGGAUUGUAAACUUAUUUUGUCAGGGAAGAAAAAAUGACUGUACCUGAAGAAAAAGCACCGGCUAACUACGUGCCAACAGCCGCCGGUAAUACUGAGCGGGCGUGGCGAAGGCG
RNAcentral lists this ribosomal RNA (205 nucleotides) under uncultured bacterium. RNAcentral describes it as "partial 16S ribosomal RNA". It matches the Rfam family "Bacterial small subunit ribosomal RNA", at positions 328 to 538 of the family's 1533-position model. The record is from RNAcentral.